RNAcentral lists this transfer RNA (85 nucleotides) under Felis catus (domestic cat). It matches the Rfam family "tRNA". Rfam says of the family: Transfer RNA (tRNA) molecules are approximately 80 nucleotides in length. The record is from Rfam by way of RNAcentral. Lineage: Eukaryota; Metazoa; Chordata; Mammalia; Carnivora; Felidae.
GCCUGGGUGACUCAGUCGGUUGAGCAGCUGACUUCGGCUCAGGUCAUGAUGGCAUGGUUUGUGAGUUUGAGUCCCACUUCAGGCU